GACGAACGCUGGCGGCGUGCUUAACACAUGCAAGUCGAACGGAAAGGCCCUGCUUUUGUGGGGUGCUCGAGUGGCGAACGGGUGAGUAACACGUGAGUAACCUGCCCUUGACUUUGGGAUAACUUCAGGAAGCUGGGGCUAAUACCGGAUAGGAGCUCCUGCUGCAUGGUGGGGGUUGGAAAGUUUCGGCGGUUGGGGAUGGACUCGCGGCUUAUCAGCUUGUUGGUGGGGUAGUGGCUUACCAAGGCUUUGACGGGUAGCCGGCCUGAGAGGGUGACCGGCCACAUUGGGACUGAGAUACGGCCCAGACUCCUACGGGAGGCAGCAGUGGGGAAUAUUGCACAAUGGGCGGAAGCCUGAUGCAGCAACGCCGCGUGCGGGAUGACGGCCUUCGGGUUGUAAACCGCUUUCGCCUGUGACGAAGCGUGAGUGACGGUAAUGGGUAAAGAAGCACCGGCUAACUA
This 464-nucleotide ribosomal RNA is filed under the name uncultured bacterium. Its description in RNAcentral is "partial 16S ribosomal RNA". It matches the Rfam family "Bacterial small subunit ribosomal RNA", at positions 28 to 503 of the family's 1533-position model. The record is from RNAcentral.